Molecule: ribosomal RNA, 492 nt
Filed under: uncultured bacterium
Lineage: Bacteria
Description: partial 16S ribosomal RNA
Rfam family: Bacterial small subunit ribosomal RNA
Source: RNAcentral
AGUGAACGCUGGCGGUAGGCCUAACACAUGCAAGUCGAACGGCAGCACAGUAAGAGCUUGCUCUUACGGGUGGCGAGUGGCGGACGGGUGAGGAAUACAUCGGAAUCUACUUUUUCGUGGGGGAUAACGUAGGGAAACUUACGCUAAUACCGCAUACGACCUACGGGUGAAAGCAGGGGAUCUUCGGACCUUGCGCGAUUGAAUGAGCCGAUGUCGGAUUAGCUAGUUGGCGGGGUAAAGGCCCACCAAGGCGACGAUCCGUAGCUGGUCUGAGAGGAUGAUCAGCCACACUGGAACUGAGACACGGUCCAGAUUCCUACGGGAGGCAGCAGUAGGGAAUAUUGGACAAUGGGCGAAAGCCUGAUCCAGCCAUACCGCGUGAGUGAAGAAGGCCUUCGGGUUGUAAAGCCCUUUUAUUGGGAAAGAAAAGCAGCAGAUUAAUACCCGGCUGUUCUGACGGUACCCAAAGAGUAAGCACCGGCUAACUUCGCG